GAUAAACGCUGGCGGCGUGCCUAACACAUGCAAGUCGAACGCCCUUUUGCGCAAGUGAGAGGGAGUGGCGGACGGGUGAGUACCACGUGGGUACCUACCUUGAGGUGAGGAAUACCACCGAGAAAGUCGGUGACAAGACCGCAUACGCUUGGCAACAAGCAAAGUCUCGACAAGAGACGCCACAAGAUGGGCCUGCGCCUGAUUAGCUAGUUGGUGAGGUAAUGGCUACCAAGGCGACGAUCAGUAGCUGGUCUGAGAGGAUGAUCAGCCACACUGGGAUUGAGAACGGCCCAGACUCCGUACGGGG
RNAcentral lists this ribosomal RNA (307 nucleotides) under uncultured bacterium. Its description in RNAcentral is "bacterial SSU rRNA". It matches the Rfam family "Bacterial small subunit ribosomal RNA", at positions 28 to 346 of the family's 1533-position model. The record is from RNAcentral.